UGAGUAACACGUGGGCAACCUGCCUGUAAGAUCGGAAUAACUCCGGGAAACCGGGGCUAAUGCCGGAUAACACUUUCUUUCGCAUGAAGGAAAGUUAAAAGAUGGCUUCUUGCUAUCACUUACAGAUGGGCCCGCGGCGCAUUAGCUAGUUGGUGAGGUGAUGGCUCACCAAGGCAACGAUGCGUAGCCGACCUGAGAGGGUGAUCGGCCACACUGGGACUGAGACACGGCCCAGACUCCUACGGGAGGCAGCAGUAGGGAAUCUUCCGCAAUGGACGAAAGUCUGACGGAGCAACGCCGCGUGAACGAUGAAGGUUUUCGGAUCGUAAAGUUCUGUUGUUAGGGAAGAACAAGUACCGUUCAAAUAGGGCGGUACCUUGACGGUACCUAACGAGAAAGCCCCGGCUA
RNAcentral lists this ribosomal RNA (408 nucleotides) under uncultured bacterium. Its description in RNAcentral is "bacterial SSU rRNA". It matches the Rfam family "Bacterial small subunit ribosomal RNA", at positions 107 to 499 of the family's 1533-position model. The record is from RNAcentral.